AGUCCCGCAUGGGGCUUCCCGUGAGGAGCCUGCUUCUCCCUCCGCCUAUGUCUCUGCUGCUCUCAGUGACUCUCAUGAAUAAAUAAAUAAAAUCUUUUUCUAAAAAAAAAAAAAAAAAUCUCACUUCAGUAUUCCCUGCCGUGCUCAGAAUGGUCAACCGGUGCAGCCCCUGGAAGACCUCAGGGCACAGCAAGCGAGAUCUCGGGGACUGACUGAAUGCUCUUGGAAGAACGUGAACGCUUCGCCACGAGCGCUACUGAACUGCCCAUGAGGAAAAAUGAAGAAUUAGGACAGGCGGGCUGUGGCACUGGGGCGGCGGCAGCUUUGGAAGAGUAGGUAAAGAAUAAAUAAAACAUUAAAUUCGGCAUUUGUGUAAACGAACCAAAAAGAACCUCCGGCUCGGGCGCUAUUUUAACGACAAUAAUCGAACAUCCUCUAACUACACUUGGCCCUUCUCUGGAUCGGGCGGGGAAGGUUUGUCUGCUGAAGACAGCAAAAAGCUUUUUUUACUUGUGAAAGUUUUCAUCAGUUUCCUCCAGAUGUACGAGGAUUUCCUCGGCGCACUCGAGGGAGGGAGCCCCCGUGAUCUUCUCCUUCACGCUCUGGAACAGCUGCCUCAGCAUCGCCUGCAGCACCACGGCGUCCUCGCCCGAGGACUGGGCCAUCCUCCCUGCAAGAAAGCAGCGCACACGCCCGUCCCUCCCGGUCGGCGCAAAAGCCGCGGCACUGCGCACGCGCAUGCGCACGCGCGCCCCCACCCAGCCCCGGCCCGCGCGCCGCGUCGUUCCCCGGGAGACCGCGGCCGGCGCUUGGGGGCGGGCCCUCGGCCGCCCGUGCGUCUCUCUGGGAAACAAGCCGUCUUACUCUGAGGAAGCAGGAGUCCGCAAGGACCCGCCGCCUUUGGAACUCGUCGUUGCCGGCCUUCCGUGCGACCGCAGUUCAAGCUGUCCCCGCUGACCGCAAGAAAAAAAAAAAGAGAGAGAGAGAGAGAUCCCGCCAACAUCUAGUGAUCCGUUCCCCUUACCGAUCGCCUUGCCAGGAGCUGUGGAGAAGACGCGCUCGUAGUCAGGCACAAAAAGAUGUCCGCGUUUUCACCACAGCGCAGUUCAGUGUGGUGUUAGAGAAAGAAAUGCGCCAGGUAGGUGUGUUGCGGAAAUGCAGAGCCCUCUUUUAACCCAGUGAAGGAGUCCAGGAAAGAAGCGAGGAGAGAAGCAUCACCUAUGCCGGUCCUGGAGCCAGUACAGUUAGAGGAGCUGAGGAGGCUGCAGAAGCAAAUAGGCCACAACCGAAAGGGCCGCAUUUGGCACGUUUACGAGUUAGAGAUGAAGCUUGCAUGGACUCACAAGUGGAUUCCCUAGUGACGCUGUGGGGAGCCUGUGCAAGAAGCUGCAGUGGAUACCGAUAGACCUUCAUCCAGCCCCCUAUCUAGAUAAAUCCCCAGACCCUGGUCAUGUCCAAGGUAACAUUGGGAUCCGAUCCUGGUGUCCAUGGAAUGAAUAGUCCCGAGCCGCUGAAGAGUGGUUUAAUGCCAAUGAAUUCUCCUUUACCUAGCUCGCAGUGUAUACUUCUCCGUCAAUAACAGCUGGUACGCUUCACGUGUUAGCCAGGAUCAGCGAUUCCCUUGAUACCUGUGCUGUUACUUCAAGGGUAAAAGUAUACUAUGUCCUUGCCAACUGUGGCAGCAUGUUUCUUGGUAAAAAAAAAAAAAAAAAAAUGUAUGCUUAAUCUUGAUGGUCUCACUACUACAUUAAGAAAAAACAUACUACCCGGGUAGGCACACUUGUAACUUCAUUUGUAUAAAACUCAGUAUGUAAGCGUGUGUGUGCACGUGCAUAGAAUCCCCAGCAUAUGACAGCUACAUGUGUAGAUUAAGACAGAGGAGUUAUGUUGGCACCUCAGACAUCCAAGAUGAACAUAGCUAUGAGUGAUGUGAUUUUUCUGAAUUAGCAAGCCAUUAUGGUGAAAAUCCAGAACAAAAUAAAAUCAGUCUUUCCUUGA
Canis lupus familiaris (dog) is the source of this 1998-nucleotide long non-coding RNA. RefSeq lists it as uncharacterized. The record is from RefSeq and is a predicted model, not a curated record. The transcript is spliced from 2 exons. NCBI's taxonomy places the organism in Eukaryota, Metazoa, Chordata, Mammalia, Carnivora, Canidae.